CAGCCCCUCGAGUGGUGGGGAUGAUUAUUUGGCCUAAAGCGUCCGUAGCCGGCCGGGUAAGUUUCCCGUUAAAUCCAGCGUCUCAAGCGUUGGACUGCGGGAAAUACUGCCUGGCUAGAGAGUGGGAGAGGUCAGCGGUAUUCUGGGGGUAGGGGCGAAAUCCUUUGAUCCCCGGAGGACCACCAGUGGCGAAGGCUGCUGACUAGAACACGUCUGACGGUCAGGGACGAAAGCUGGGGUAGCGAACCGGAUUAGAUACCCGUGUAGUCC
RNAcentral lists this ribosomal RNA (270 nucleotides) under uncultured archaeon. Its description in RNAcentral is "partial 16S ribosomal RNA". It matches the Rfam family "Archaeal small subunit ribosomal RNA", at positions 477 to 747 of the family's 1478-position model. The record is from RNAcentral.